AAAUAGUUUCCGACCUUAGACACCCCACAUUUAGGUUUCAGUGUAGCCUUUCCCUUUCUAGGAUUGGGCCUACCUUUGCCCUUGGGCUUUGUCUGAACUUUGGCCUUUCCCUUGCCCUUGUUGUUACGAACCAUCAGUAUGGGCUUGGGUCCAACCUUUUUCAUGUUGCCUUCAGGAGUUUGCAACAUACUGAGCAACUG
Molecule: long non-coding RNA, 200 nt
Filed under: Gossypium barbadense (sea-island cotton)
Lineage: Eukaryota; Viridiplantae; Streptophyta; Magnoliopsida; Malvales; Malvaceae
Description: long non-coding RNA (GBAR_LNC000753)
Source: RNAcentral